UCAUACAGGGGGAUAACAGUUAGAAAUGACUGCUAAUACCGCAUAAGCGCACGGAAUCGCAUGAUUCAGUGUGAAAAGCCGAGACGGUAUGAGAUGGACCCGCGUCUGAUUAGGUAGUUGGUAAGGUAACGGCUUACCAAGGCGACGAUCAGUAGCCGACCUGAGAGGGUGACCGGCCACAUUGGGACUGAGACACGGCCCAAACUCCUACGGGAGGCAGCAGUGGGGAAUAUUGCACAAUGGGGGAAACCCUGAUGCAGCGACGCCGCGUGAGUGAAGAAGUAUUUCGGUAUGUAAAGCUCUAUCAGCAGGGAAGAAGAUGACGGUACCUGAGUAAGAAGCCCCGGCUAACUACGUGCCAGCAGCCGCGGUAAUACGUAGGGGGCAAGCGUUAUCCGGAUUUACUGGGUGUAAAGGGAGCGUAGACGGCAAGGCAAGUCUGAAGUGAAAGCCCGGGGCUUAACCGCGGGACUGCUUUGGAAACUGUCUGGCUGGAGUGCCGGAGAGGUAAGCGGAAUUCCUAGUGUAGCGGUGAAAUGCGUAGAUAUUAGGAGGAACACCAGUGGCGAAGGCGGCUCUCUGGUCUGUAACUGGCGCUGAGGCUCGAAAGCGUGGGGAGCAAACAGGAUUAGAUACCCUGGUAGUCCACGCCGUAAACGAUGAGUGCUAAGUGUUGGAGGGUUUCCGCCCUUCAGUGCUGCAGCUAACGCAU
Molecule: ribosomal RNA, 712 nt
Filed under: uncultured bacterium
Lineage: Bacteria
Description: bacterial SSU rRNA
Rfam family: Bacterial small subunit ribosomal RNA
Source: RNAcentral